UCCGAGUUGACCCCGGCAGUCUCCUAUGAGUCCCCGCCAUCACGCGCUGGCAACAUAGAACGAGGGUUGCGCUCGUUGCGGGACUUAACCCAACAUCUCACGACACGAGCUGACGACAACCAUGCACCACCUGUGAACCGGCCUCAAAGAGGGGAGGACAUCUCUGCCCUUUUCCGGUCCAUGUCAAGCCUUGGUAAGGUUCUUCGCGUUGCAUCGAAUUAAUCCGCAUGCUCCGCCGCUUGUGCGGGCCCCCGUCAAUUCCUUUGAGUUUUAGCCUUGCGGCCGUACUCCCCAGGCGGGGCACUUAAUGCGUUAGCUACGGUACGGAAAACGUGGAAUGUCCCCCACACCUAGUGCCCAACGUUUACGGCAUGGACUAC
RNAcentral lists this unclassified non-coding RNA (380 nucleotides) under uncultured Micrococcaceae bacterium. Its description in RNAcentral is "contains 16S-23S intergenic spacer region". The record is from RNAcentral. Lineage: Bacteria; Bacillati; Actinomycetota; Actinomycetes; Micrococcales; Micrococcaceae.